RNAcentral lists this long non-coding RNA (3002 nucleotides) under Physcomitrium patens. Its description in RNAcentral is "long non-coding RNA (PPAT_LNC013273)". The record is from RNAcentral. Lineage: Eukaryota; Viridiplantae; Streptophyta; Bryopsida; Funariales; Funariaceae.
UUCCUAAUCUCCAUCAUUUAACGCAAGCCCCAUUGCAAGCCUUCAUCCUCUGUCUUCGGCCUUGUUCCUAAUAUCCAUCAUUUAUCUCCACCUCCUUUCGUAGCUUUGGUCGUCUUUCUUUGGCGUCAUUCCUACUCUCCAUCAUUUAUGUCCUAUCCCAUUCUUAGCCCUUGUCUUUUGUUUUUGGCCUCAUUCCUAUUAUCCAUCAUUUAUCUCAAGCACCAUUCUUAGCCUUCGUCCUUUGUCUUUAGCCUCGUUUCUACUCUCCAUCAUUUAUCUCCAGCCCCAUUUUAAGCCCUCAUCCUCUAUCUUCCGCCUCGUUCAUAUUAUCUAUCAUUUAUCUCCACCUCCAUUCUUAGCCCUUGUCCUCUUUCUUUGGCCUCAUUCCUUCUCUCCAUCAUUUAUCUCCAAUCUCAUUUUUAUUCUUGUCCUCUGUCUUUGGCCUUAUUCCUAUCAUCCAUCAUUUAUCUCCAACCCCAUUCUUAGCCUCCGUCCUAUGUCUUUGGCCUGGUUCCUAAUCUCCAUCAUUUAUGUCCAGUCCCAUUCAAAGCCCUCAUCCUCGGUCAUUGGCCUUGAUCAUAUUAUCCAUCAUUUAUCUCUACCUCCUUUCCUAGCCCUCGUCCUUUUUCUUUGGCCACAUUCCUACUUUCCAUCAUGUAUCUCCAAUCCCAUUCUUAGCCCUUGUCCUUUGUAUUUGGCCUCAUUCCUAUUAUCCAUCAUUUAUCUCUAGCCCCAUUCUUAGCCUUUGUCCUUUGUCUUUAGCCUCGUUCCUACUCUCCAUCAAUUAACUCGAAUUCCAUUCUAAGCCUUCAUCCUCUGUCUUCCGCCUCGUUCCUAUUGUCCAUCAUUUAUCUCCACCUCCAUUCUUAGCCUUCGUCCUCUUUCUUUGGCCUCAUUCCUACUCUCCAUCAUUUAUCACCAAUCCCAUUCUUAGCCCAUGUCCUCGGUCUUUGGCCUCAUUCCUAUUAUCCAUCAUUUAUCUCUAGCCCCAUUCUUAGUCUUUGUUCUUUGCCUUUAGCCUUAUUCCUACUCUCCAUCAUUUAUCUUCAGCCCCAUUUUAAGCCCUCAUCCUUUGUCUUCUGCCUCAUUCUUUUUGUCCAUCAUUUAUCUCGACCUCCAUUCUUAGCCCUCAUCCUCUUUUUUUGGUCUCAUUCCUUCUCUCCAUCAUUUAUCUCUAAUCCCAUUCAUAGCCCUUAUCUUUUAUUUUUGGAAUCAUUUCUAUUAUCCAUCAUUUAUCGGCAAUCUCAUUCUUAGCCUUCAUCCUUGGUCUUUAGCCUCGUUCCUACUCUCCAUCAUUUAUCUCCAGUCCCAUUCCAAGUCCUCAUCCAUUCUCUUUGGCCUCGUUCGUAUAGUCCAUCUUUUAUCUCUAACUCGAUUUUUAGUCCUCGUCUUCAUUCUUUGGCCUCAUUCUUACUCUCCAUCAUUUAUCGCCAAUCCCAAGAAUAGUCCUCGUCUUCUAUCUUUGCCCUCAUUCCUAUUAUCCAUCAUUUAUCUCCAGCUCCAUUCUAAGCCUCUGUCCUUUGUCUUUAGCCUCGUUCCUACUCUCCAUCAUUUAUCUCCAGCCUCAUUUUAAGCCGUCAUCCUCUAUCUUCUGCCUCGUUCCUGUUGUCCAUCAUUUAUCUCCACCUCCAUUCUUAGCCCUCGUCCUCUUUCUUUGGCCUCAUUCAUUCUCUCCAUCAUUUAUCUUCAAUCACAUUCUUAGUCCUUAUCCUCGAGGCUUUGGACUCAUUCCUAUUAUCCAUCAAUUCACUACAGCCCCAUUGUUAGUCUUUGUCGUUAGUCCAUAGCCUCGUUCCUACUCUCCAUCAUUUAUCUUGAGUUGCAUUCUAAGCCCUCAUCCUGUGUCUUCCACCUCGUUCUUAUUGUCCAUCAUUUAUCUCCACCUCCAUUCUUAGCCCUCAUCCUCUUUCUUUGGCCUCAUUCUUUCUCUCCAUCAUUUAUCUCCAAUCUCAUUCUUAGCCAUUGUCUUCUAUCUUUGGCCUCAUUCCUAUCAUCUAUCAUUUAUCUCUAGCCCCAUUCUUAGCCUCCGUCCUAUGUCUUUGGCCUCGUUCCUAAUCUCCAUCAUUUAUCUCCGGCCCCAUUCGAAGCCCUCAUCCUCUGUCUUUGGCCUUGUUCCUAUUAUCUAUCAUUUAUCUCCACCUCCUUUCCUAGUCCUCGUCCUCUUUCUUUAGUCUCAUUCCUACUUUCCAUCAUUUAUCUCCAAUCCCAUUCUUAGCCCUUGUCCACUAUCUUUGGCCUCAUUCCUAUUAUCCAUUAUUUAACUCCAGCCCCAUUCUUAGUAUUCGUCCUUUGUCUUUAGCCUCGUUCUACUCUCCAUCAUUUAUCUUCAGUUCCAUUCUAAGCCCUCAUUCUCUGUCUUUCGCCUCGUUCUUAUUAACCAUCAUUUACCUCCACUUCCAUUCUUAGCCCUCAUCCUCUUUCUUUGUCCUCAUUCCUUCUCUCCAUUAUUUAUCUUCAAUCUCAUUCUUAGCCCUUGUCCUCUGUCUUUGACCUCAUUCCUAUCACCCAUCAUUUAUCUCCAACCCCAUUCUUAGCCUCUGGCCUAUGUCUUUGGCCUGGUUCCUAAUCUCCAUCAUUUAUCUCCAGCCCCAUUCCAAGCCCUCAUCCUCUGUCUUUGGCCUUGUUCCUAUUAUCCAUCAUUUAUCUCCACCUCCUUUCCUAGCUCUCGUCCUCUUUCUUUGGUCUCAUUCCUACUCUCCAUCAUUUAUCUCCAAUCCCAUUCUUAGCCCUUGUCCUCUAUCUUUGGCCUCAUUCCUAUUAUCCAUCAUUUAUCUCUAGCCCCGUUCUUAGUCUUUGUCCUUUGUCUUUGGCCUCGUUCCUAAUUUCCAUCAUUUAUGUCUAGUCCCAUUCUUAGCCCUCAUCUUUUGUCUUUGGCCUCAUUUCUAUUGUCUAUCAUUUAUCUCCAACUCCAUUCCUAGCUCUAGUCCUUUGUCUUUGGACUCAUUCCUAUUAUCCAUCAUUUAUCUCCAGCUUCAUUCUUAGCCUUCAUCCUUUGUCUUUAG